This 450-nucleotide ribosomal RNA is filed under the name Burkholderia sp. AaM35b. RNAcentral's name for it is "bacterial SSU rRNA". It matches the Rfam family "Bacterial small subunit ribosomal RNA", at positions 47 to 492 of the family's 1533-position model. Lineage: Bacteria; Pseudomonadati; Pseudomonadota; Betaproteobacteria; Burkholderiales; Burkholderiaceae. The record is from RNAcentral.
CCUUACACAUGCAAGUCGAACGGCAGCACGGGGGCAACCCUGGUGGCGAGUGGCGAACGGGUGAGUAAUACAUCGGAACGUGUCCUGUAGUGGGGGAUAGCCCGGCGAAAGCCGGAUUAAUACCGCAUACGCUCUACGGAGGAAAGGGGGGGAUCUUAGGACCUCCCGCUACAGGGGCGGCCGAUGGCAGAUUAGCUAGUUGGUGGGGUAAAGGCCUACCAAGGCGACGAUCUGUAGCUGGUCUGAGAGGACGACCAGCCACACUGGGACUGAGACACGGCCCAGACUCCUACGGGAGGCAGCAGUGGGGAAUUUUGGACAAUGGGGGCAACCCUGAUCCAGCAAUGCCGCGUGUGUGAAGAAGGCCUUCGGGUUGUAAAGCACUUUUGUCCGGAAAGAAAACGCCGUGGUUAAUACCCGUGGCGGAUGACGGUACCGAAAGAAUAAGCA